RNAcentral lists this long non-coding RNA (5082 nucleotides) under Capsicum annuum. Its description in RNAcentral is "long non-coding RNA (CANN_LNC014520)". Lineage: Eukaryota; Viridiplantae; Streptophyta; Magnoliopsida; Solanales; Solanaceae. The record is from RNAcentral.
CCUCCAAAAUCAUUUUCCUCUAAAUCUACCCUUUCUCCACUAUCAGUCGGUGAACCAGCCAUUGCUAUUCCCUCUCUGCUUUCUCACUAGCUCCGGCCACCCUCCAUACUCCGUGAACCCCACUCUGUACAACUAUUAUAGCCGUUAUUUCGUCUGUUCCUGUUCAGUCCCGGCUAAACUCCACUUAGUCGCCCCCUUUCUCCUUUGCAUCUCCCCUUCUCUCUUUUUUAAAAUCAAAAUUUGCUAUUGCUCUGGCGGAUUUGAGAAGGCCCGAGUUCUAUUAUAUUUUCAAAGUGGUGCACAAUUAUCGAUCGUCUUUUCCCCUUUAAAGCUUCAAGGCUUCAAGUCUAGGAAGGAUUCUUAUGAAGUCGUCUAUGGUAUGGAUCCCUUAGUGAUUAUGUUCCAUCUCUAUCUCAAUUUCGUGAUUUUGUUCUUAAAUAUUUUGAAUUCAAAAUUCAUGGAUAUUGAGUGUUGAUUCCCUUCUAGAAUUUACUGUGUUUUAUCCGUUUUCAGAUUUCAUUUUAAAAGAAAAUGGUUUUGACCUUUUCAAACUAUUUCAAAAGAUUCAAGAAAAUUUCAAAAUAAUUUUUAAAAAAAUUUACAGAGUCGCCACUUAUUUUCAUAGGAAAUAUCAAGGAAACUUAAAAGAGUUUCAAAGGUUCAAAAAUAGAAAUAAACCUUUAAAUCUAGAGAAAAUUGGUAAGGGUUCAAUUAACGCCUAAGAAGGUUUUUAAGACACUUAGGAGCGUCUAUUUAAAAACGGUAUACCAAAAAAGUAAUUUUUGACUAACUUAAAAAAAGGGCGUCUAACUUUGAAAAAAUAUUAAAAUUAGUUACUCACAUAUUUUGGAAUUGGCAUUUGUUUAUUCAAACAAGAAAAGAAAAAAAGUCAGAAAUACCCUUCAAGUAUUAAAAUUGGGUCAAAAAUACCCUUCAUUAACCUAUUGGGCCAGAAAUACCCUUCAAGUAUUGAAAAUGGUUCAAAAAUAUCCCUCCAUCCACCUUUAUGGCUCAAAAAUACCCUUGCAACUAACGAUUUUUAAAAAUCAUAAUUAAAAAUUCUCAGAAAUACACUUUAAGUAUUGAAAUUAGUUCAAAAAUACCAUCCAUCCACCUUUAUGACUCAAAAAUACCCUUGUAACUAACGAUUUUCUUAAAUCAUAAAUAAUUUUUUUAAUAUACGUGGCAGCUUUCACUUGGUUGAAACUAAAUUAAUUUAAAUGUUAUAUUCAAUCUGACCUCAACUUAAGCUUUGGGGUGGGGUGGGUGAUUUUGAGUCGUAUAAGCUUUGUAAUUUAUUUUCCCUAUUUUGAUUAGGGAAGUUAUUUUUCUUAGUUUGAAAUUUAGAAUAAAUAUGUUUUUUAGGAAAAAUAUUUUUCAAAAUUUUUAGUCAAACGAACAUUUUCGUUCGCACCGAACCCACCCUUAAAAGCUUGUAAUGGUGAGGUGAUGCUUUUUCUGGUAGUUCUAGCGUCGACAUAAGAGAACAUUCCAAGGUUCAUGAUUAAUCAAAGUUUUACAUCAAAAUCUCUUACCUAUUUAUUUUUACUACAAAUGGCCUUAAAUAAUUAAUCAUCAUUUAACUCAUAUGGAAUUGGUAUAUAUUAUAUUCUUCGUUAUAUAAUUUACUAUUAAUUUAACUCUCACUUGAAAUAUUAUACUAAUAGAUUGCGAUGAUUCUUUAUAAAGGGAAGAUAAUGUACUCUAUAGUUAUAUUCCCUGCUCCAGAAAAAGUAACAUGCAUCUUUAAGAUUAGAUUUUGACCAUAUUAUAGAACAGUAAUGUCAAAUAAUGAUACUGUAUAUCCUCCGUUUUAAUUUAUUUAUUUUAAUUAUUAUUUACAUAAAAUAUUUUAAAUUAUUAGUUAUAUUAAAUCUUUUAAUAGAGAAAUUAUUUUAUGAACAUAAUUUUUAAUAUAUAAAUUUUAUUAUAAAAAAUUAAAAAUUUUAUAUCCAAAUUCACAUCAAAUAUUAAUUAGUUUGAUCAUGAUACUUCGAUAAACAAAGAAACAGAGAAAUGGAUAAUAGUUACAAGAUUUGACGUUUGCAUGAAAGAGUAAAAUUACUGAAAGUACUGGUAUUUUAUUUACUAUAGAUAUUCUCCACAAGCACGGAUUAAAAAAUGCUUUCACAAAGUUUAUAUUGUCUCGUUUUGCCCGCUAUAUUAAAGCCUAGCAUUAUUGACGUUGGGCAACCUUUAUACGGUUUGAAUCGGGUAGCUUGAGUUGGAAUUGGAUUGGAUAUAAUAUUUUAAUUAAUUUAGUUUCAACCAAGUGAAAGGUGACACGUAUUUUUUUUUUAAAAAAAAUAUUUAUAAUUUAAGAAAAUCGUUAGUUGUUAGGGUAUUUUUGAGCCAUGAAGGUGAAUAGAUGGUAUUUUUGAACCAAUUUCAAUACUCAAAGGUAUUUUUGACCCUUUUUUGAAUUUGUAAUUAUGAUUUUUAAAAACCAUUAGUUGCAAGGGUGUUUUUGAGUCUUAAAGGUGGAUGGAGAAGUAUUUUUGAACCAUUUUCAAUUCUUGAAUGAUACUUUUGGCCCAAUAGGUUAACGAAGGAUAUUUUUAACCCAAUUUCAAUACUAAAAGGAUAUUUCUGACCCUUUUCCAAACAAGAAAUAGUCUACUUGAAGAGUUACAACAUAUUCUACUUAAUUCAUAAUUAUUUAUAAAAUAUUCUACUUGAAUUAAAGAGAAACCUAUUUAAACGAGGUUACACACUUGAAUUUAAGGAGAUACGUUUGUGUUUUUAUGAAAAAAAAAAAGAUUAUGUAAUUAUUAUUUUUUAUUAUUAUUUUAUUUUUAUAAAAAAAGGUCUAAGUUUGUUAUAAAUAAUACCUUUGAAAAAUACCACGAGAACAUCAUGUUAAAAGUAUUUUAUCAAUUAUGGAAAGUUAGAAUUUACGAGAAAAAUUAGCUCCUUGAGUUUGACGAAAAUUAUUUUAACCCAAAUAGGCCAUUAGUCGUAUGAACAAGACAAAGGUCAUCUCGAAAUAAACUACUUAAUUUUUUUAAAAGUCUAAUUUUAGGAAGAAAAAUCAAAGAAACCAAUUUGAUCCAUUUAGACAAGAUAAAUUAGGUGGGAAAAAUUAUAAAUUAAGUGAAAAAGUCAAGAUAAAAUAGGAUGACAACAACAUAGGAAACCACUAGAUUAAUUAAUUAAAGUCUGGGUUAAUACAAUGAAACAAGAAUAAAUUGUAAAUUGUAAGAGAAUAAUGAUAAAGAGUUGAAGUUGGGCCCCUAUUCUGGCCCAUCAACAAGCUUCCCAAUUUUGGGCUUCAUCCUCAUGGACUUGUGGUAUUUUCCUGCAGUGUAUACCACAUGUAUACCAGCCAUAUUUUCUGCAUUUUUGCGUACAUAUGUUGUACAUACGUGCAUACAAAUCUGUAUACUUGCUUCAAGCUUCAUUAUGCAUCAUAUAUCGGCAUGUACCAACCACUUUCGCCCUGUAAAACCCAUAUAUCUAUUGUAUACAGUGUAUACCAGUCCCUUUGGACUUGAUUUUUAAAGUCUAGACUUGAAGAUUCAGGCUGCCUUGGCCCUUUAAGGAGAUACGGAGGAGUAUAGGGUCUCAUGGACUCAUGAGUAGUGUUCAUGCAAAGAAAAUGAUGAUGCAGACUAGUAAACUAUUAAUGCAUGAAGAAAGAUAAAUUUAUCAAGCAUCUAGGAAAAUACACAUCACCAAAGACAACUGUCUCAUACCACAACCUCAGUUACAGAGAAAGCUAGUAUUUAUCUGUCUAGCCAAGGUCCCUUUUCAGAUGAAAAGGGGAAAUUAUGAAACAAGUAGAUCACAUUCAUACCAAAACAAACCUUUUUCUCAUUAAAGGAGUCAAGUAUAAAGAGGCUUAUGCAAUCGCUAUAAAGCAUCGACUUGAUCUAAUGCGGAGGCUAUCACAAAAAUAGAGUUAUAAAAAUGCUCUUACAGUCGUAGAAUGUUUUAUAGGAUUGCUAUCAAUUUUUUCCAUUUCAACGUCUAUAUCAUAACAGUAAAACGAAGAAGCCCGCAUGCUAUGGAACAUAAGACAACCAAGGAUUGCAAAUAUUAGGCAUGGACACUUGUUCUUGAACAACCAUUUUUUUUCUUUGCAAACUUCAAGGCCGAAAUAUUUUUUUUGUAUUCAGUUUAACAGAGAGAUGACCACAAAAUUGAGAAAAUCUUAACACAAGUUUAAAUUCUUUGAGAAUCAAUAGUUGAACAAACUUCAAACAAGACAAGGACUAUAGCAUCUCAAAGGCAGAAAAAGAACUAUAGCAUCCAAAAUUCCAGCAAAGGCAUCAAAAGUUCAAAUUUAGAUAGCAUCUCAUGCUUCCCGACAACUACAAAACAGAAUAACAUCAACACGAGAGGAAGUUUUUUACAAGGAGUUUGGACUGUAUACAUCAAGCAACCCCACUCGUUUUGUUCGUGCAGAGGCAGGUCUUGAUUUAAAUGAAACGAUGGCUUUAGAAUUCAACCCAUUCUAAUGACAACAAUAUUAACAAUACUUGAACAAAUUUGGACCUCAAGAAAAAUACAAUGACGAGAAUCAGGAUCAUUCUAACUUCUAUGUAAACAAUAGAGUUAAGAGAUUUCCAUAUCAAUAAAUCAUAAUCCAUGGCAUACAGAAGAUUGACAAAAAGGGGUUACCUUUUUUUGGGCAGCGAACGGGACAGAAGAGCCUAUCACUGAUGGAGCUUCCACCACCGAAGUUUCAAUUUUGGGUUCGUCGGAAUUGAUUUCUUAAUAGAGUUUCUUCUCAAAUUUUUUGGUUGCGUGUGAUUAGAGGAAUGCUCUUCCAGAAUCUCCAAUUUUUUCCAAAGAAUCAUCCUUUCUAUGAUGAAGGAAGAGUAUCCCAGAUUUAAAAGAGAAACUGGAGGUUGUUGUAGGAUGGGUCACGGGUUGGAGAAUUGCUAACAGACAAAAUUGUGACAUCUAGGGCAGUGAUUUUGUUGCUGGCUUUGACCGGGUUAUUCACCAAAAUGGUGAUGCGAGUUCUGGGUUUGAUGAAAGUCGUUUGAUCCUUAGCCAAAAAUGGCAUUUUGUGAAUAUCGGAUGUUAUUGUUUAUUGUUUAUACGCGUAAAGGGUAGGGGAAAUGGAGUUGGGCC